GUGAUGUGAAGAUUCAUUGUCUGUCAAUCCACUGACAUACAUCCGUGAUGUUACUCAUGAUAUUCCGAGAUGAUCUGAUCAU
This is a non-coding RNA of Musa acuminata subsp. malaccensis (wild Malaysian banana), 82 nucleotides long. NCBI's taxonomy places the organism in Eukaryota, Viridiplantae, Streptophyta, Magnoliopsida, Zingiberales, Musaceae. The record is from Rfam.